GGUUCGAUCAUGGCUCAGAUUGAACGCUGGCGGGAUGCUUUACAUGCAAGUCAGACGGCUUUGGACAGUCUGGUGGCGAGUGGCGAACGGGUGAGUAAUGUAUCGGAACGUGCCUAGUAGCGGGGAUAACUACGCAGCGUAAGCUGUCACCACAUACGCCCUUCGGGGAAAGCGGGGGACCUUCGGGCCUCGCACUAUUAAACGGCUGAUAUCGGAUUAGCUAGUUGGUGGGGUAACGGCUCACCAAGGCGACGAUCCGUAGCUGGUUUGAGAGGACGACAAGCACACUGGGACUGAGACACGGCCCAGACUCCUACAGGCAGCAGUGGGGAGUUUUGGACAAUGGAAACCUGGUCAGCCAUCCCGCGUGUACGAUGAGGCCUUCCGGGUUUGUAAAGCACUUUUGGCAGGAAAGAAACGGCACGGGAUAAUACCCCGUGCACAGCUGACCGAACCUACAGAAUAAGCACCGGCUAACUACGUGCCAACAGCCGCGGUAAUACGGAGGGUGCGGCGUUAAUCGAUUACUGGGCGUAAAGCGCGCGUAGGUGGCUUGAUAAGCCGGUUGGCGAAAGCCCGGGCUCAACCUGGGAACGGCAUCCGGAACUGUCAGGCUAGAGUGCAGGAGAGGAAGGUAGAAUUCCCGGUGUAGCGGUGAAAUGCGUAAAGAUCGGGAGGAAUACCAGUGGCGAAGGCGGCCUUCUGGACUGACACUGACACUGAGGUGCGAAAGCGUGGGUAGCAAACAGGAUUAGAUACCUGUGCAAUUACCGCCAUCGCGCGAUAUAAACUAGCCGUUGGGAGCCUCGAGUUCUUAGUGGCGCAGUUAACGCGAUAAGUCGACCGCCUGAAGUACGGCCGCAAGUUCAAAAACUCAAAUGGAGUGACGGGGGCCCGCACAAGCGGUGGGCAUCUGGUUCAGUUUCGAUGCAACGCGAACCAUACCUACACCGACGCAUCGUGAACUUUUUCAGAGAUGGAUUGGUGCCUUCGGGAGCGCUGAACAGGUGCUGCAUGGCUGUCGUCAGCUCGUGUUGUGAAAUGUUGGGUUAAGUCCGUAACGGGCGCAACCCCUGUCCCUAUUUGCCAGCGAUUCGGUCGGGAACUCUGGGAGACUGCCGGUGACAAACCGGAGGAAGGUGGGACGACAAUCAGUCAUCCUUGGCCCUUACGGGUAGGGCUACACGUGCUGUGUAAGCAGGGUACGAGGUUUGCAAGACGGCGACGUGGAGCUAAUCCCAUAAGAGAGCCUGCCUCAGUCGGAUCGGAGUCUGCAACUCGACUCCGUGAAGUCUGAAUCGCUAGUAAUCGUGAAUCAGAAUGUGCAGUGCUGAAUACGUUCCCGGGCCUUAUACCACACCGUCAUGUAAGUGGACUGCACCAGAAGUGGUUAGCUUAACCUUCAGGGCGUCACCGGUGUGGUUCAUGACUGGGGUGAAGUCGUAACAAGGUAACCCGAGAGAACAG
RNAcentral lists this ribosomal RNA (1467 nucleotides) under uncultured Bordetella sp. RNAcentral describes it as "partial 16S-23S ribosomal RNA intergenic spacer". It matches the Rfam family "Bacterial small subunit ribosomal RNA". Lineage: Bacteria; Pseudomonadati; Pseudomonadota; Betaproteobacteria; Burkholderiales; Alcaligenaceae. The record is from RNAcentral.